UACGAAGGGGGCUAGCGUUGUUCGGAAUUACUGGGCGUAAAGCGCGCUCAGGCGGGUCAUCAAGUCAGAGGUGAAAUCCCAGGGCUCAACUCUGGAACUGCCUUUGAAACUGGUGACCUUGAGUACGGGAGAGGUGAGUGGAAUUCCCAGUGUAGAGGUGAAAGUCGUAGAUAUGGGGAAGAACACCGGUGGCGAAGGCAGCUCACUGGCCCGUAACUGACGCUCAGGCGCGAUAGCGUGGGGAUCAAACAGG
This 253-nucleotide ribosomal RNA is filed under the name uncultured bacterium. Its description in RNAcentral is "partial 16S ribosomal RNA". It matches the Rfam family "Bacterial small subunit ribosomal RNA", at positions 524 to 776 of the family's 1533-position model. The record is from RNAcentral.